CUGAACCUCAAAUUCAGCAACCCUAGAGGACUCUGAGGUGUCCCCCAGGAUCCCGUUAGAGUCCCAGUAAUGACGUUUGGCUUCCCAGACAGACUUCUGAACCUACUGAGAAAUAAGCAAAAGAUCAAGUACUUAAAGACCAAAAUAUCAGCUUUUUUGCUGACAAAGAGCUGAUGUGUAUCUAUUAGCAAAAGGAAACAGCUUUAGGAGCUGCCAUUUCCAGGCCAUCCAUGCUGGGCCGUGGAGUUCCCUGGUGGCUCAGGGGGUUAAGAGUCCAGUGUGGUCACUGCCGUAGGGCGGGUUGCAUCCCUGGGCCCAAGAGCUUCCUCCCUGUGCAGGGCAGAAGCUGCCCUGGAGCAGCCGAACCGGGCAGGUGCUCACAGAAAUGAACCUGCUCCCAGGGGGAGGUCUCUGGCCUCAGCCAGACUCACAGUUUUGCUUCCCAAAUUCACAAAGGAGAAAGUCCUGGCCGGGGCUCUUCCUUUCCCUCAAAGUCUUCCUGAGGCAAAUGCUGAAAGAAUGACAGUUUCCUUCAAGAGGGACAUCUGGUGGCCCUUGGAUCUGUUCCAUUCUGACGCAGUGGUCAGAUCACCGCUGGUCCAUGCUUUCUGGUGUCAACCGAACACCCAAGUUGCAUCCUGGCGUUCACACCUCCCACAGCUGCAGUCACUUCUUGGUCUGCCUGACGCCCAGCCCCACACACCCCAGCCGUCAUCUGCGGGCACCUGGGGCACUGCGGCUGGAGCUCAAAUUGCAUCUUACGCCCCUUAAAUGAUACGACCUCUUCCUCUUCUGUCCUUGUGGAGACACGUUCUGUUGGCCGUUUCCACAGUUUGUAGACUUCAGUGUCAUUAGGUGUCACAUGGACCCAUGACAAUAAUAAACGGAAAACCUGAUCAUUGUGUGGGAGCUUUAAGUCUGUUCCAUUUAAAUGAGUCAUAUCAUUAAGUAAAUACACAGUUUCCUGUAAGCCUUUCAUCGGUUACAUAAGUACCAGGGCAGUUCACUCUGACCCUGAGUUUUGUUACAGUUUGGUCCUUGUUCUGCAAAAUUUUCAUUCUUGGAUUACCAGUUUUCAGGGACACCUGCCAAUUCCUCCCUUUGCCUUCAGUUCUCUGAGCAUUGAGAGUGUGUGUGUGUGUGUGUGUGUGUGCUGCGUCCCAGUCUUACGAACUGAAGGUACCUUUCCUGUUUUCCAGCAACCUGAAUCGAUGCCAACCUUCCACUGGGCUCCCCUGUUGGUGUGGGGGGUGUGCCCUGCUGGCUGCUCCAAAGCUUUCCACUGGGCUUUGCAGGCUCCGCGAUAAGGCAUGUGGCACUGGAAAGAAACAGAACCUGCAGACCCUUCAGAGGCUCGGCCUUCUCCUCGGCGGACUGGGCUGCUGGGCAGAGGUGUAGGAGACCCUGGCUGCUCCUCCGUGCUGCUGUCACAUUCCCAGUAACCCUCCCCCGUCCUCCACUGGGUACCCACCUCCCAUGCUUCAGGACUCGCUUCUCUCUCUCCUCCUGCCCUGUGAAUCCCUCCAGGGCAAAACCCCUGUUCUGCUCUUGCGAUCUAGUCCAGCCAGCUCCUGACUUCUGCAGGAGCUCAGGUAAUACCUGAGGGAGGGGAAGGGAAGGUGGGAAGGCGGUGAGGGAGGCCAGAGGGGACGGAGCAGCCCCAGCCUCCUGAACAAGCUGCGCUCGGCAGCAAGCCGUUCCCCACGUUUCCCACUGUCGCCUCCUUCCUCUCCAUCGUUCCCAGUCCAUCCAUGUCACCUCCAUGUCACCUCCUCACUCCCACGUGCAUCCACAUCACCCCCUAGUGCCCCGCCCCAACACCCUUCCUCAGGGAGCCCCCAGGCAGCACACGGACACAGUCACACUCUGUCUUCUGUCCCUGCUUUGCCUACUUCCUGGCUCUUCGUCACCUGCAAUUCUUUCAGCUGCUUGCUGGUUGUCGUCUGUCCCCUGCACUAGAAUGAAGCUCCGGGAGGUACCACAGCUUCGUGUCUGAAACGGUGCCUGGCUCGUGGGAAGUGUUCAUGAGCUUCGAUGGAAUGACUAAAUGGAGGAGAAGCGGGAAGGGAGGGUCCCCCCUCCCUUUUGCCCCAUUAAAUACACUUUAAAAUGUGGCGUGUGGGGAGUUUUCCUGUGGCUCAGCAGGUUAAGGAUCCAGCAUUGUCGCUGCCGUGGGUCAGGUGGCUGCUGCGGCGUGGGUUCCAUCCCUGGCCCAGGAACUUCCACAUGCAGUGGGCGUGGCCAAAAAAAGUGGCCAUGGGCACCUCCCCAGGGGAAAAGCAAGUGUUCUUCUGCCCUCUGUGACCUGCUCCUGGUCUUCCGUGUAGACUGCGGGGUCCCAAGGCACCCGGGUGGGAAAACAGGUGAGGGAACGGGCUCUGGUCCUGAGACCGUCCCAACCCCACGGCCGUGUGCAGCCAAGGACGGGCUGAGCCUCUGGAGGGUGAGGGGACCUUCACGGACCCUAAAGCCGAGGUCAAGGUCACUUUAGGUCCACGGUGGCCAGGGAGCUGGCGGCCUGGUGAGGGCCUGGAGCUGGACCCGGGAAGCCAGGCGAGGCUGCAAGGCUGCUCCUCAUCCGCCUGCACGGUCCUCCUUUCUCCUUCAGCCUGGCACCUGCUUCCUUCCCCCUCUCAGCGCAGACUCUGCCCAGGCACCAAACGCGCUGCUUGAGAGGCUCAGAGGCCCAUCUCUCAAUUUCACGGGCAGCGUCUAAAGGGUCCAGGGUGGGUCACAUGUCUACACCUCUUCCGGUCAGCUGUGAGUGCGGUGGGGGCCACACUGUAUGGACAUGGCAGCUGGCUCAGGGUUCAGAGAAGAGGUGCGUGGCUGGGGGUCACCCCAAGAGACAUCUGCCUUGGGCAGCAGGUGUUGGGCUCCAGGCUCCAACCGUAUCUGAGAAGCAGUUUUUGUCAUUUCCUUUCACCUGUCCAGCUAUUUCCCACAAUCGCCCCACAAUCGCCCAGCACUGGAAGCUCAGGAUCUAAGAGGCUGCUCUCAGAGAUAGCUGCUGGGUCACUUGGGCACUGAACACGCGUUUCCAGUGUCAGAGGACCUAAAGCACAAUCAGCGACAGAGAAACAGUUAUCGCCCUAAGGUGGCCUUAAGCCAAAUGCUACGGAUGUCCGUGGGCGACUUUCCACCUUCCUCUUUUUGCUCCUGGGCCUGAGAAAACAAUUCCUGGAAUGUACCCACUGAGGCCAACCGCCCCAACCAAACAAGAGAGUGUAUCUUGUGUGGACCCAAAAUGCACCUUUCCGUGGGGAAUUGUGAGGCCAGCUCGCACAGCCUUCUGCUUUCUCGAUGACUCCUUCUGACUCACCCAGGUAGCUGUCUGGCUCUUUAGCCCAGGGGUAUGGGAUCCAAGAUGACAGCAGGUGAGAUCACACUUUGGGUUUUUGGAACACUUGGUAUCUUUCAACUGAUUUGCCUUUGAGCAAACUUCUCUCAUUGUGGGGAGCCUGUUCGAUGGUUCAAGGCCUGAGGAGGGGGCUAGCGACAAGGUGGCCCCAGAAGAGGAUCUGCUCUGCCCUUUAAUGUGAGGCCUUCACAACUAUGGACAGAGGCGUAUUUCCUAAUAAUGCAGAUGUGUGUCAGUCAUUGUCCUGCCUCCUUGCAAGGUUUGGGGCCAGUUCUGCCUUGUCACAUGGUACCUGCCCAGUACCUGCCCAGGUACUCCUCCAGGAAGACUUCCGUGGUUUGUGCGAAGAGUCCUGGGCUGGUGGAAGAGAGCUUUGCACGUGGAGAGGGUGCAGCCGAGAGCCACACAGAAUCCUGCGGCACAGGCGCUGGCCUCGGGACCUAGCUGAUGGCCACUGUGAGCGCAGCCCGCGAGCAUCCUCAGCACAGGUGCACAGGUCGUCUCAUCUGGGGUCCGGGGUGCGAGCACAGCCGUCUCUCUUCCUGUCCUCCAGGGCCCCUCUCUCCCCAUCCCGCGGUCUGUGGACGCCAGGAGAGGAGGGGGAGACCCCCCUUUGCAAGUCUGCAGUUAUGCGCCCGCCUCUUUCUGUCUUACACCUUUACCAGUGACUUUGGAACUUAAAAACUACAAAUUUGCCUCCUUUAUUCUCUGGUUUAAGAAUGGGACCUUCCCCCAAAGCAGUGGAGGACUCCUAGCUAGUUCUUGGCUAAGACAAAGACCCUCAGGGGGCAAGUGAAUAAAAUCAGAGAGCCCAGAACAGGAAGUAAGGAGCAGGGAUGGGUGGACAUUGGGGGGAUGUGAGAGCACAGAAAUAAUUCUUUAAAGUACUACCCCUCCCCGUGGGAGCCAGGCACUGUGUUCUGAAUACGAGGCUUGUUAUGACGGCGUUGUGUGCUCCCGUUCUCCUGGUUUCAUGAAGGCCGUAGACAGACACGCGAACCUUGAAGGGAGGACAAAGCACGAAAAAUACCAGCACCGUUCAAGAGAAAUGCAAUGUGACUCACGUAGGGAAUUUUACAUUUUUUAAAAACAAGUGAAAUGAGACAAGUGACAUUAAUUUUAAUGAUAUAGUGUGUUGAACCCCAUGUAUCUGUAAGAGCACCAUGUCAAUGUGUGAUCAAUAAAAACAUUAACAAGGAGAUAUUAUACUUUUUUUUUUGUCCUAAGUGUGGGAAAUUCCAUGUGUGUUUUAUAUUUAGAGUAUAUCUCAGUCUGAUGAGCCGCAAGUGCCUGGCGAUUGCCAUAUGGGCCAGGCAGUUCCACACUGUCUCUCAAAGUUUCCCAACCCACGGGCCUGCGCCCCAGUUGCCCACGGUGGUAAAUUUCAUAUUAGUGUGCGCUCUCCAGACUUCGUCCCCGUCCGCAAAUGACUUCUCCACUUUUACCAGUGCUCCCUGCCAAUCAUCUGCCAAAUGAAGCACACACACUCAAAAGUACGCCUCUGGAGUUCCCUUUGUGGCUCAGUGGAAACGAAUCUGACUAGUAUCCAUGAGGACGCAGGUUCAACCCCUGGACUGGCUCAGUGGGUUGGGGAUCCAGUGUUGCCAUGAGUUGUUGUGUGGGUCACAGAUGUGACUUGGAUCCUGUGUUGCCGUGGCGGUGGUGGAGGCUGGCAGCUGCAGCUCCGAUUAGACCCCUAGUCUGGGAAUUUCCAUGUGCCACGGGUGUAGCC
RNAcentral lists this long non-coding RNA (5093 nucleotides) under Sus scrofa (pig). RNAcentral's name for it is "lncRNA (ENSSSCG00000052408.1)". The record is from RNAcentral. Lineage: Eukaryota; Metazoa; Chordata; Mammalia; Artiodactyla; Suidae.